UACGAGGGGGGCAAGCGUUGUUCGGAAUUACUGGGCGUAAAGGGCGCGUAGGCGGCAGGCCAAGUCGGGAGUGAAAGCCCGGGGCUCAACCCCGGAAUGUCUUUCGAAACUGGCCAGCUGGAGUGCGGAAGAGGCAACUGGAAUUCCCAGUGUAGCGGUGAAAUGCGUAGAUAUUGGGAAGAACACCUGAGGCGAAGGCGGGUUGCUGGGCCGACACUGGCGCUGAGGCGCGAAAGCCAGGGGAGCAAACGGG
Molecule: ribosomal RNA, 253 nt
Filed under: uncultured bacterium
Lineage: Bacteria
Description: partial 16S ribosomal RNA
Rfam family: Bacterial small subunit ribosomal RNA
Source: RNAcentral